Molecule: long non-coding RNA, 200 nt
Filed under: Capsella rubella
Lineage: Eukaryota; Viridiplantae; Streptophyta; Magnoliopsida; Brassicales; Brassicaceae
Description: long non-coding RNA (CRUB_LNC002871)
Source: RNAcentral
AAAAGUUACGGGAAAAUGGAACUCGAAGAGAAUUUUUAGUAAUUGAAAUAACAGUUUGAUCAAAAUAUAAUUGGACGAAGAAUGGUUUGCAGUCGUACGUCAGCUUUGGCCAAUGUAAAAAAAAAAAAAAAAAGUUUUCAAUUAGUAGUGGGAAAAUUGUAGCAUAUACGGUGUUGGUGAAUCGAACGAUUAGCUGGGAG